Molecule: long non-coding RNA, 887 nt
Organism: Corylus avellana
Lineage: Eukaryota; Viridiplantae; Streptophyta; Magnoliopsida; Fagales; Betulaceae
Source: RefSeq, a predicted model, not a curated record
AUGUCGGUCAAAGACAGGAUAUUUAAUCAAGAAGAUUUUGGUAUUAGAUUGCCCGGACGGUGGAGGAAUUUUAAACUAGAUACACUGAAUCAAGGAAAUCUGAGUUCAUUAUUGAUAUGCUGCAAAGAGCACUAGUGUUAGUGUACGUACGCUGCUGCCACCUUACUCUCCAGAAAAAACUCUCUCUCUCUCUCACGCUACUCCGAUGCAGGAUGCUGACACCAAAAGGUAACAGUCCACUCUAUAAAUUAGGAAACAUAAAGGAAAUGAAAGGGAAUAGUAGAAUGUAUGCCACUCCAUGAAAUCAUAGCAAAGAAAUGAUCAAAAGCUCAUCGGGUUCCGUCGCUAUCACCAUCAUUGUAUCACAGGGAGCUCCACAAAAACUUUACUGUGCUACGCUCUUGCUGCAUGUUCAAGAAGAUCUUUCAAGUGCAGUGGCAGUGAGACCAGCAGUACUCAAUGCCAACAUGGUAUAUAGAUGACAUCUAAGGCAACUCUUCAAAAUAAAAGCUACACUUUGCUGAUUUGUGAUAGAUUUCAGGCUAAUAUUCAUAAUAAGAUGAACAAAACAUAUGCAGGAUCCGCAGGUAAUUCCUAAUAUAUAGAUGCAUGAAAGGCUUGCAUUUAGUGAUAGUCAUGUUUAUAGGUGAUGGGAAGUAGUUCUUAAGGUUUGGCAUAAACAAGAUUUUCGUUGAGCGCAAAGUGAGGUUUUUCAACACUGAAGGAUCGAUGCCACAUUCAUCAGCAUUGGUGGUAAGAAUCUUAUCAAGUUAAUUAGCUCUUCUUGUUUUUUUUUCUCUCUUUUUUUGGGUGUUUAGUCCUGUUUGCCAUACAUGGAAGGCUAUGUCUGUUAAUCUGUGGUUUGGUUGAUUGGACAAAAUAAUAAA